GUCGAGCGGAGCUUUGAUCGAAGGAGGUGGCUAGCGGAAGAAGACCGCUGGGGCAUCAGCCUGCGAGUCGCACUAGCGGGAGGUAGUCGUUGGCGGGAAAUGACCGCUGGGUAUUGCUAGCGCGCUGGACACGAGCCGUGCUAGCGGAAGAUGUCGCUGGACUCGCUGGAGGAUGGUGCUUCGUUUGAAGAAGCGGGGCGAUGGGUUGGUGCUGGACGUCGGGGCUGCUGAAGCGCGCUCUGGUGAUCGGGGCCUUGUCCAGCGG
This 265-nucleotide long non-coding RNA is filed under the name Rosa chinensis. RNAcentral describes it as "sRNA RchiOBHm_Chr5g0048001". Lineage: Eukaryota; Viridiplantae; Streptophyta; Magnoliopsida; Rosales; Rosaceae. The record is from RNAcentral.